Molecule: ribosomal RNA, 253 nt
Filed under: uncultured bacterium
Lineage: Bacteria
Description: partial 16S ribosomal RNA
Rfam family: Bacterial small subunit ribosomal RNA
Source: RNAcentral
UACGUAGGGGGCAAGCGUUGUCCGGAAUCAUUGGGCGUAAAGCGCGUGUAGGCGGCUCGGUAAGUCUGCUGUGAAAGUCCAGGGCUCAACCCUGGGAUGCCGGUGGAUACUGUCGAGCUCGAGUCCGGAAGAGGCGAGUGGAAUUCCUGGUGUAGCGGUGAAAUGCGCAGAUAUCAGGAGGAACACCGAUGGCGAAGGCAGCUCGCUGGGACGUGGCUGACGCUGAGACGCGAAAGCGUGGGGAGCAAACAGG